UACGAAGGGGGCUAGCGUUGCUCGGAAUCACUGGGCGUAAAGGGUGCGUAGGCGGGUCUUUUAGUCAGGGGGGAAAUCCUGGAGCUCAACUCCAGAACUGCCUUUGAUACUGAGGAUCUUGAGUUCGGGAGAGGUGAGUGGAACUGCGAGUGUAGAGGUGAAAUUCGUAGAUAUUCGCAAGAACACCAGUGGCGAAGGCGGCUCACUGGCCCGAUACUGACGCUGAGGCACGAAAGCGUGAGGAGCAAACAGG
Molecule: ribosomal RNA, 253 nt
Filed under: uncultured bacterium
Lineage: Bacteria
Description: partial 16S ribosomal RNA
Rfam family: Bacterial small subunit ribosomal RNA
Source: RNAcentral